This 301-nucleotide ribosomal RNA is filed under the name uncultured bacterium. RNAcentral describes it as "partial 16S ribosomal RNA". It matches the Rfam family "Bacterial small subunit ribosomal RNA", at positions 509 to 807 of the family's 1533-position model. The record is from RNAcentral.
CAGUCGCCGCGGUAAUACGUAGGUGGCAAGCGUUGUCCGGAAUUAUUGGGCGUAAAGUGUCUAUAGGUGGCUUUUCAAGUCCGCCGUCAAAUCCCAGGGCUCAACCGUGGACAGGCGGUGGAAACUACCAAGCUGGAGUACGGUAGGGGCAGAGGGAAUUUCCGAUGGAGCGGUGAAAUGCGUCGAGAUCGGAAAGAACACCAACGGAGAAAGCACUCUGCUGGGCCGACACUGACACUGAGAGACGAAAUCUAGGGGAGCAAAUGGGAUUAGAUACCCGCGUAGUCCCUGUCUCUUAUAC